CUAUACAUGCAAGUCGAGCGGACAGAUGGGAGCUUGCUCCCUGAUGUUAGCGGCGGACGGGUGAGUAACACGUGGGUAACCUGCCUGUAAGACUGGGAUAACUCCGGGAAACCGGGGCUAAUACCGGAUGGUUGUUUGAACCGCAUGGUUCAGACAUAAAAGGUGGCUUCGGCUACCACUUACAGAUGGACCCGCGGCGCAUUAGCUAGUUGGUGAGGUAACGGCUCACCAAGGCGACGAUGCGUAGCCGACCUGAGAGGGUGAUCGGCCACACUGGGACUGAGACACGGCCCAGACUCCUACGGGAGGCAGCAGUAGGGAAUCUUCCGCAAUGGACGAAAGUCUGACGGAGCAACGCCGCGUGAGUGAUGAAGGUUUUCGGAUCGUAAAGCUCUGUUGUUAGGGAAGAACAAGUGCCGUUCAAAUAGGGCGGCACCUUGACGGUACCUAACCAGAAAGCCACGGCUAACUACGUGCCAGCAGCCGCGGUAAUACGUAGGUGGCAAGCGUUGUCCGGAAUUAUUGGGCGUAAAGGGCUCGCAGGCGGUUUCUUAAGUCUGAUGUGAAAGCCCCCGGCUCAACCGGGGAGGGUCAUUGGAAACUGGGGAACUUGAGUGCAGAAGAGGAGAGUGGAAUUCCACGUGUAGCGGUGAAAUGCGUAGAGAUGUGGAGGAACACCAGUGGCGAAGGCGACUCUCUGGUCUGUAACUGACGCUGAGGAGCGAAAGCGUGGGGAGCGAACAGGAUUAGAUACCCUGGUAGUCCACGCCGUAAACGAUGAGUGCUAAGUGUUAGGGGGGUUUCCGCCCCUUAGUGCUGCAGCUAACGCAUUAAGCACUCCGCCUGGGGGAGUACGGUCGCAAGACUGAAACUCAAAGGAAUUGACGGGGGGCCCGCACAAGCGGUGGAGCAUGUGGUUUAAUUCGAAGCAACGCGAAGAACCUUACCAGGUCUUGACAUCCUCUGACAAUCCUAGAGAUAGGACGUCCCCUUCGGGGGGCAGAGUGACAGGUGGUGCAUGGGUUGUCGUCAGCUCGUGUCGUGAGAUGUUGGGUUAAGUCCGCAACGAGCGCACCUUGAUCUUAGUUGCCAGCAUUCAGUUGG
RNAcentral lists this ribosomal RNA (1104 nucleotides) under Bacillus sp. (in: firmicutes). Its description in RNAcentral is "bacterial SSU rRNA". It matches the Rfam family "Bacterial small subunit ribosomal RNA", at positions 49 to 1134 of the family's 1533-position model. Lineage: Bacteria; Bacillati; Bacillota; Bacilli; Caryophanales; Bacillaceae. The record is from RNAcentral.